Long non-coding RNA from Dromaius novaehollandiae (emu), 1410 nucleotides. RefSeq lists it as uncharacterized. The record is from RefSeq and is a predicted model, not a curated record. The transcript has 2 exons. Lineage: Eukaryota; Metazoa; Chordata; Aves; Casuariiformes; Dromaiidae.
UGGAAGUAGGGAGCCAGUGUGAUUGGAAGAUACAUUUCAAUUAAUUCUUCCUCCAACGCUUUAUCUCCUCAGCAUCAGAACCUUUUAUAGUGUUAAAAUUAACAAUUAUGCAGCUGAUGGCUGGCUGAAACCACAAGGGGAUCUGGGAAGGGCCUCAGAUAACACAACAUGUAUAAAUCAUUCAGGAGAACAAUUCAUGAAAGAAAAGUUAUCUGUGUUUUGGAUGACAUUGGAAGAACUAAAUAGGAGUCAAUUUGAGGAAGGGACAUUUUGCUCCAUUGUCCAGCCUAGCUUUUUUUUUUUUAUUAUUAUUGUGUUGUAAUAUACAUUUUCAAAAUUAAUUAACCAUUAACAGCAAGAUAAAUGUUUCUUCUUGUGUUAGGGAAAAGCCGGCCUCCGCGGUGAAAGAUUAUUUCACAGGAGCAGCACUCUUAGAGAAAGCUGUUGCCAGAUAAGGUGGCGACUGUACUUUGAAGAGGAACAAUGCGAAGUGACAGACAAGCCCGUGUUUACCAAACUGAAUAGAGGACUUGCAGGUUUCCACUCACUGAUCGGUUACAUAAGCAGAGUGAAUCAAGGCUGGAGUGCUGUUUCACCAAGCCAUAUCAGUAACAAAGUGGCUCAGCGAUGCUCAAUCCUGGAAGAGUCAAUGUAGUCCUUGAUCACAUGGAGAUAAAAAAGUGUGGUUUGAAAGAUAGAGGCACUGGGAGAAGAAUUCUUUGCUGGAGCUUUUAAAACAGUAACAUCCUUCCAGUUCUGCCCUUUUCCCCUGCUAGAAGUUGCUACAUAUGGAGCAGGCAUGGCAGAAGCAAAAAUGUGUUAGCUCUUCACCUUUGGGAGUUUGAAGACUGAUGCAUUGUAAACUCAAACUGAUGGAUGUUCAUCCCGCUGUAUGAAGCUGGCUGAAGUUGAGUUGCUUCCAGUGCCUGUUUGGUGGAUGAUAACCACAAGCAGACGUAUGAGCAGACGGCUGGCACUGCCGGUGCCCUAAACCACCAUUGCUAAAUGCCACAGAGCUCAUCUGUCAGAGCCCUAAGGUUUUCUGAAUACAGUCCUAGCUCUAAGUCCGGUUCUCACCUCAGCAAGAGAUGCUGCUUAGAUCUUUCAGCUUGGUUUCCCCUGUAUAAACUGUGAUGAUUAAACUUAUUAAUUUAGUUCAUGUAAGGAUUAAUUAAUAAACACAGGCAAAAAUCCAAUUGCAACUUCAUUUCACCAAAAAUGCCGACUUAAGUCCACUGACAUUCUUUGUAAAAUUAUAGUUUUUUCAGCAAAUCUUUUUCAGUUAAAAAGACUAAACACAUUUGUUAAAAUUAGACUGUUUCAUUAAGCAUUUUAUAAAAAGAUGUUUUUAGAUCUGUACGUUACCUAUACUCUUAAUGUAAAUAAGAGCUGAAUACUGUAUGAACCAUC